GGGUGAGUAACGCGUGGGUAACCUGCCCUGUACACACGGAUAACAUACCGAAAGGUAUGCUAAUACGAGAUAAAAUACUUUUAUCGCAUGGUAGAAGUAUCAAAGCUUUUGCGGUACAGGAUGGACCCGCGUCUGAUUAGCUAGUUGGUAAGGUAACGGCUUACCAAGGCGACGAUCAGUAGCCGACCUGAGAGGGUGAUCGGCCACAUUGGAACUGAGACACGGUCCAAACUCCUACGGGAGGCAGCAGUGGGGAAUAUUGCACAAUGGGCGAAAGCCUGAUGCAGCAACGCCGCGUGAGCGAUGAAGGCCUUCGGGUCGUAAAGCUCUGUCCUCAAGGAAGAUAAUGACGGUACUUGAGGAGGAAGCCCCGGCUAACUACGUGCCAGCAGCCGCGGUAAUACGUAGGGGGCUAGCGUUAUCCGGAAUUACUGGGCGUAAAGGGUGCGUAGGUGGUUUCUUAAGUCAGAGGUGAAAGGCUACGGCUCAACCGUAGUAAGCCUUUGAAACUGGGAAACUUGAGUGCAGGAGAGGAGAGUGGAAUUCCUAGUGUAGCGGUGAAAUGCGUAGAUAUUAGGAGGAACACCAGUUGCGAAGGCGGCUCUCUGGACUGUAACUGACACUGAGGCACGAAAGCGUGGGGAGCAAACAGGAUUAGAUACCCUGGUAGUCCACGCCGUAAACGAU
This 687-nucleotide ribosomal RNA is filed under the name uncultured bacterium. Its description in RNAcentral is "bacterial SSU rRNA". It matches the Rfam family "Bacterial small subunit ribosomal RNA", at positions 104 to 810 of the family's 1533-position model. The record is from RNAcentral.